CAAAGUAGUGUGUGAGUUUGUGUGUGCAUGCAUGCACAAGCUAGCAUUUACUCCAAUGCCAUUGCAGCAUGAACACGAUUGCAUCAGUUCUGGUUACUUUGGACCAUUUCUGAAUCCAGAUUUCCUGAGCACUCUUUGAAGUCGUAGUUCAGCCCCCCAAGUGUAAGUUCAUUGCCCUGCCAUGAUAUUGCUAACUGGGAUUUCCCACUUGCAUUUCAAGUUGUCCCACAGCUCUGGUUCCACAGCCCGUGGGUGAGCACCUGAGCCUUGGGCUCUGCUGGUCCUGCUCUGGGCUCUUGCUGCAGCACCGUGCAACCCCGCUCCUUCCCUUCCAACCAUGUGCAGCCCAAGAAAUGUCUCCAAAGUGAUGAGGGUUCAUCCCAAGGCGCCUUUUCGAGAAGAAUUCAGCAGUGUCCCUGGUCAAACGUCAUUUUUAAUUCUUCAUCGGUGGUGCAGGCUGUAUUCCUCUGGUAGACGAUACAACACCAAAAACUCCUGAAACUUGCUGUCCCGGGAAGUAGCUUCCAUCCACCCUGGGCAGGACGGGCAAUAAUUAGUCACCAACACGUUUUAAUGCUCAAAGUCCUUCUUUCUUUAAAGGCAUGCUUAGAAAGAGACAUUUAAGUCUAUCAAGUAUGCAAAAAUGUAUGCAGAUGCUCCUUGAAAAUGGCUUACCCGAAGGAAUAGUCACCGGGAAAAAUCACUUUCCUGCCUCCUAAAAGUAGGAAAGUUUUGAAAAUUAUAUUCACAUAGAAACUGUUUCAAAAUAAGUUCGCCACUCUGGGGUCCCCCGCCCCCUCCCCUGCCUCCUAAUUGCCUUUUUUUUUUUUCCUUCCAAGUCUGUAUUAUGUUUCUUUGGGUUGCGCCAACUAUUUAUUUAUCUUUAUUCUUUCCCUCUUUCUUUUCAUUCAUUAUUCUCUCUCCCUCUCUUUUUUUUCCUUGUGUGUGUGGCUUCUCGGUCUGAUCUGUAGCUUGUUACCACCCACUGCACGCUCUCUCCUGCAGCCGAGGUGUUUCUAUACAAACUUCAGCGUCCAGUUGUCAUAUUAAUUAUUACACUGAGUAAUGACUGAAAUAGUCAAAAUAAGGGGAGACUCAAGAGAGCUUUUUCUUGCUGCUCAAAGAUUCAGCAAAGAAGCCUUGCAACAAAGCACUAAUUGGUCCCCAGAAAUACUCUGACAAGGCAUGGAAGAUAGGUUUCAUAAAGCCCAGCAAUUGUGAAGGGGAAAAGAUCCUUGAAUAGACCCCACGCUUCUUUUCUAAACUCUCUUGCUGAGCAAAAAAUGGACUGCUUCUUGAAUACUGGACUGAUCUUGAAUGCUAUACCCAGCAGAGAAAAAAAUGCACCAUUUAUUGUAAGUUUUUUUCCAGCUAUUCAUGUGUUCUAUGUGGAGAAUAAGCUGGUUUUGUUUACCAUGAAAGACCUUUUACUUUAUUUUCACUCUUGGGGGGGAAGCUGGAAGAAGGGGGGGGGGGGGGGGCGAGGGGAGGGAGAGAAACACAUGUGCCCAAAUCCAGACGAGCUGCCUACUGUAACAAAAUGGAGUGUAACAAAUCCUACAGAAGUCCCGAAUGUAUCGAUUCUUUGAAGAUCUAUAUAGAUUAACGACUUUCGUUCUGCCUUUCCAAGACAGCAUUUAAUCAUAACGUAAAUGGCCUUUAAAAAAAGAAAAGGGGUGAAAAAAAGCAUACCAAAGUGUGUUUUUUUUUUUUUUUUUUAAAAAAAAAAAAAAGGACUUCAAAAGACUUCAUGAGUGUGGCACACAAAAUUUAGGCACAUAAAAAAGACACUAUAAAGUAAUGACAAUUCAAGAUUAAAAAAAGUAGAAGAAAAAAAAAAAGAAAAAAGAAAAAGGGGAAAGUCCAAUAAGACCAAUGAAAAGGGCAAGAGCUAUUUAUCAUUAUGUUAGAAUUAAGAAUUUCAAGGCGCAGGUGCAGGACUGUGCAUACAAGUGGGUGGAGGCUGGGGACCCCGAAACACUAUUUAUUAUCUAUAAACCUGGCAGCCCCAGGCCCCUUACUCUGCGAAGUGAGCAGAUCAGAAAGAUGCCAAGAUUGGCAUUACCUUAGACAACACGAAGGAUGAGCUUGUUCCACUAUGGCAGCAACUGGAGAGGGGCAUGCUCAGUAAAGGGAGGAAAAGGCUCUUCCCCCAUUGCCCCCCAGGCCCAGAGAGCCAGGGGAGAAUGGAGCUUUGGAGGUGAAAUUACAUGCAAGUUAUACGUGGUGACCUCUGGGACUCACGCCUUUUGCCUUUUUAAGAGCUCUUGUUCAGAGCCCUCUGAGACUCAAAAAAGGGGGACCCAGAAACUCUGGUCCAUUUUGCCAUUUGGGGAAAAGGGCAGGAAUUUCCAUGCCACAGUCUUUUCACACUAGUUCUGGCAGUGGACUACUCCGUAAGUAUUACCCUACGUACAUAUAUAGUCUACAAGGCUGCAAUUAAUUUGGUACUUCAUUUUCUGAUAUCUGUUGCCACUUUCUAAUGCCACUGGUGCAUUGCUGUUCUCUCGCUCCUGUAACAUCACAACGUGAAGCCGAUGAUGCAACUGCUACUUCCAGUGCAGUGAGGUCAGACAAGGGAUGUCCCUGACUGAAUCAUCCAGAAUACUCGGAACUGAGAAGAGAGAGCUUCCUAUGCAGAGACAAUACUGAAUGCUGCAUGCCGGUUGUCCUGCCAAAAAGAAAAUAAAAUCACUUGGUAGA
Molecule: long non-coding RNA, 2703 nt
Organism: Anas platyrhynchos (mallard)
Lineage: Eukaryota; Metazoa; Chordata; Aves; Anseriformes; Anatidae
Source: RefSeq, a predicted model, not a curated record